UAAUUUUUUACAAUAAUUAGUUUAAACUGUUCAAUUCAGUUUUAUCUGAGGCAAUUUAAAUUUUUUAAAAAAAAUAAAAUAAUUGAAAAAAAUUAUUUUUUGUUUAAAUUGAUUAUCAAUAAAUUUUUUAAAAUUGAAACUGUGGGGGGGACUAAUUGAUUCAUGGAUAAGAAAAUUUUUAUAUUGUACCUUUUGUAUCAGGGUUGAUUAAUUUAUUUUAGUUAUUUAGCUUUCCCGAAAGGUUAAGAUCUUAAUUAAUUUGUUUUUUGUUGUGGUAUAAUUAUUGUUAAAUUUAAUUAAGAUUUGAAAUGAAAAUCGUUUAAUUAGUUAUCUGGUUAUUUUGGAAAUAAAUUUAAUUUAGGGGUAAUUUAUCAGUUAAAAAUUUAUUUUUAUUAAAAACUUUAAACGCUAAUGUAAACUGGGUUAAUCUAGUUUAAAUUUUAUAAAUAUCUAUUUAGAGGACGUUGUAGGAUUAAAAUUUUUUUUCUAUCGAAGUUUAUUAUAAAUUAUUCCUGAAAUUUUUAAAAUUUUAAUUCUCUACAAAAUUAACAAAUAAAAUUUUUUUAUUUGUUAAAAAUGAUUAAAUAAGUAAAUUUAAAAUUUAAUUUUAUGAACUCGGCAAGUUCAUUUUCUGUCUGUUUAUCAAAAACAU
This 652-nucleotide ribosomal RNA is filed under the name Chloriona smaragdula. Its description in RNAcentral is "partial 16S ribosomal RNA". The record is from RNAcentral. Lineage: Eukaryota; Metazoa; Arthropoda; Insecta; Hemiptera; Delphacidae.